GGACUGUAGUCUGCAACCCGACUACACGAAGCUGGAAUCGCUAGUAAUCGCGGAUCAGAAUGCCGCGGUGAAUACGUUCCCGGGUCUUGUACACACCGCCCGUCACACCAUGGGAGUCGGAAAUGCCCGAAGUCUGUGACCCAACCGCGAGGAGGGAGCAGCCGAAGGCAGGUCGGAUGACUGGGGUGAAGUCGUAACAAGGUACC
This 206-nucleotide ribosomal RNA is filed under the name uncultured bacterium. RNAcentral's name for it is "partial 16S ribosomal RNA". It matches the Rfam family "Bacterial small subunit ribosomal RNA", at positions 1295 to 1500 of the family's 1533-position model. The record is from RNAcentral.